GCAUUGCUCCCCUUCUCUAUUUAACCCUUUGAGUUCCGCAGGAGGUUUAAAUGGGUGCCGGAAAGUCUUGAAGGGAGGAGAACUAGAGGUGGGUAGGAUACAGAAAUUGGAAACCAUUUGUAUCUCCCUCUGCUGGAGGCAAAAAAUUGGAUAGAGACAGCUACAGGAAUGGUAUUAUGAAUAGAAAGGUGUUUGGGAAUCCACAAGAUUCCCUGGAUCCAUUUGGAGUUGCACUACAGGACAGA
Pseudonaja textilis is the source of this 245-nucleotide non-coding RNA. The record is from RefSeq and is a predicted model, not a curated record. NCBI's taxonomy places the organism in Eukaryota, Metazoa, Chordata, Lepidosauria, Squamata, Elapidae.